This 449-nucleotide ribosomal RNA is filed under the name uncultured bacterium. Its description in RNAcentral is "bacterial SSU rRNA". It matches the Rfam family "Bacterial small subunit ribosomal RNA", at positions 355 to 796 of the family's 1533-position model. The record is from RNAcentral.
UCGAGAAUUUUUCUCAAUGGGGGAAACCCUGAAGGAGCGACGCCGCGUGGGGGAUGAAUGGCUUCGGCCCGUAAACCCCUGUCAUUUGUGACCAAGAUUACCGAUUGAACAUUUCGGUGAUUUGAUGGUAGCGGAAGAGGAAGGGACGGCUAACUCUGUGCCAGCAGCCGCGGUAAUACAGAGGUCCCAAGCGUUGUUCGGAUUCACUGGGCGUAAAGGGUGCGUAGGUGGCUGGGUAAGUCUGAUGUGAAAUCUCUGAGCCUAACUCAGAAACUGCAUUGGAUACUAUCCAGCUGGAGGGUUGGAGGGGGGACUGGAAUGCUCGGUGUAGCAGUGAAAUGCGUAGAUAUCGAGCGGAACACCAGUGGCGAAGGCGAGUCCCUAGACAACUCCUGACACUGAGGCACGAAAGCCAGGGGAGCAAACGGGAUUAGAUACCCCUGUAGUCC